RNAcentral lists this ribosomal RNA (426 nucleotides) under uncultured Sphaerochaeta sp. RNAcentral's name for it is "bacterial SSU rRNA". It matches the Rfam family "Bacterial small subunit ribosomal RNA", at positions 356 to 774 of the family's 1533-position model. Lineage: Bacteria; Pseudomonadati; Spirochaetota; Spirochaetia; Spirochaetales; Sphaerochaetaceae. The record is from RNAcentral.
UAAGAAUCUUCCGCAAUGGGCGAAAGCCUGACGGAGCGACGCCGCGUGAACGAAGAAGGCCGUGAGGUUGUAAAGUUCUUUUCGGGAGGGGGAACGAGCCUGCCAGGCAAUGGGCGGGCGCUGACGUGAAUCCCGGAAUAAGCCCCGGCUAACUACGUGCCAGCAGCCGCGGUAACACGUAGGGGGCGAGCGUUGUUCGGAAUCAUUGGGCGUAAAGGGCGUGCAGGCGGCCGCCAAAGUCCGGCGUGAAAGACCCAGGCUCAACCUGGGGGGUGCGCCGGAUACUGGGCGGCUUGAGUACAGGAGGGGACGGCGGAAUUCCAGGUGUAGGGGUGAAAUCUGUAGAUAUCUGGAGGAACACCGAUGGCGAAGGCAGCCGUCUGGCCAUGUACUGACGCUGAGGCGCGAAGGUGCGGGGAGCAAACA